GGGCAAUUGGUCUAGGGGUAUGAUUUUCGCUUCGCAUCCUCAAAAAUGCGCCUUGUGAAAGGUCACCGGUUCGAAUCCGGUAUUGUCCA
Non-coding RNA from Canariomyces notabilis, 89 nucleotides. The record is from the annotation of a RefSeq genome assembly. Lineage: Eukaryota; Fungi; Ascomycota; Sordariomycetes; Sordariales; Chaetomiaceae.